CCCUCAGCCUGUCACUAGGCAGACUGAAUCUGUCAAGCCUAUCACAACUAGGCGCGGGAAAGCUCUUGCUCUCUCUAUAAAACAGCUACCCCUCCUGCAUGCAAUUGAGGGUUCCCGAACAUUUGGAAGGCAGAACACGAGCCAGGUUCUGAGGGCUGAUCAUCCGAGGACCCCCUCCCGCUCACUGAAUCUACCGAAUCUUUUGCAGAGCGUAACGAAUAACGAAUAUGCUGUUGUCUCUGUUGUCUCUUGUAUGUCUGAUAAAUAAAGAAGCCUCCCUGGAACAGAAGAAUACUCUGAUUUCGAGCUGGAAUAUAUCUACAACCGACAAGAGACUGGUAGAGCUACCCAAAAAGGGCACAAUGUUGUUUUUCUUUAAAUUGCAUAAACUGUAUAAUGGGCAAUAAGGGAAUUGACAGUUCUAUUUCUAGCAGCUGGCAGUGUUAUCAUCACCCUGUGAAAACAGUGCACUGAUACUGCUGGUAGUUCCAGAUUCUCAGUGUUGUGGAUGCAAUUGCUUUAACGAUAAGGAGAUGUCCCCUUACUUUGCCCCUGUAAGUAAGCAGCUUUAGCAAGCUAAAUAAACUGAAACACUGUCCGG
Molecule: non-coding RNA, 601 nt
Organism: Pelodiscus sinensis (Chinese soft-shelled turtle)
Lineage: Eukaryota; Metazoa; Chordata; Testudines; Trionychidae
Source: RefSeq, a predicted model, not a curated record